RNAcentral lists this ribosomal RNA (469 nucleotides) under uncultured bacterium. RNAcentral describes it as "bacterial SSU rRNA". It matches the Rfam family "Bacterial small subunit ribosomal RNA", at positions 30 to 492 of the family's 1533-position model. The record is from RNAcentral.
AUUGAACGCUGGCGGCAUGCCUUACACAUGCAAGUCGAACGGCAGCACGGGAGCAAUCCUGGUGACGAGUGGCGAACGGGUGAGUAAUAUAUCGGAACGUGCCCAGUCGUGGGGGAUAACGUAGCGAAAGCUACGCUAAUACCGCAUACGAUCUACGGAUGAAAGCGGGGGAUCGCAAGACCUCGCGCGAUUGGAGCGGCCGAUAUCAGAUUAGGUAGUUGGUGAGGUAAAGGCUCACCAAGCCGACGAUCUGUAGCUGGUCUGAGAGGACGACCAGCCACACUGGGACUGAGACACGGCCCAGACUCCUACGGGAGGCAGCAGUGGGGAAUUUUGGACAAUGGGCGCAAGCCUGAUCCAGCAAUGCCGCGUGCAGGAUGAAGGCUUUCGGGUUGUAAACUGCUUUUGUACGGAACGAAACGGUAAGCUCUAAUACAGUUUGCUAAUGACGGUACCGUAAGAAUAAGCA